Molecule: ribosomal RNA, 661 nt
Filed under: Escherichia coli
Lineage: Bacteria; Pseudomonadati; Pseudomonadota; Gammaproteobacteria; Enterobacterales; Enterobacteriaceae
Description: partial 23S ribosomal RNA
Rfam family: Bacterial large subunit ribosomal RNA
Source: RNAcentral
CAUAGGUUAAUGAGGCGAACCGGGGGAACUGAAACAUCUAAGUACCCCGAGGAAAAGAAAUCAACCGAGAUUCCCCCAGUAGCGGCGAGCGAACGGGGAGCAGCCCAGAGCCUGAAUCAGUGUGUGUGUUAGUGGAAGCGUCUGGAAAGGCGCGCGAUACAGGGUGACAGCCCCGUACACAAAAAUGCACAUGCUGUGAGCUCGAUGAGUAGGGCGGGACACGUGGUAUCCUGUCUGAAUAUGGGGGGACCAUCCUCCAAGGCUAAAUACUCCUGACUGACCGAUAGUGAACCAGUACCGUGAGGGAAAGGCGAAAAGAACCCCGGCGAGGGGAGUGAAAAAGAACCUGAAACCGUGUACGUACAAGCAGUGGGAGCACGCUUAGGCGUGUGACUGCGUACCUUUUGUAUAAUGGGUCAGCGACUUAUAUUCUGUAGCAAGGUUAACCGAAUAGGGGAGCCGAAGGGAAACCGAGUCUUAACUGGGCGUUAAGUUGCAGGGUAUAGACCCGAAACCCGGUGAUCUAGCCAUGGGCAGGUUGAAGGUUGGGUAACACUAACUGGAGGACCGAACCGACUAAUGUUGAAAAAUUAGCGGAUGACUUGUGGCUGGGGGUGAAAGGCCAAUCAAACCGGGAGAUAGCUGGUUCUCCCCGAAAGCU